GGGGAAUAUUGGACAAUGGGCGCAAGCCUGAUCCAGCAAUGCCGCGUGAGUGAUGAAGGCCUUAGGGUCGUAAAGCUCUUUUACCCGGGAUGAUAAUGACAGUACCGGGAGAAUAAGCUCCGGCUAACUCCGUGCCAGCAGCCGCGGUAAUACGGAGGGAGCUAGCGUUGUUCGGAAUUACUGGGCGUAAAGCGCGCGUAGGCGGUUAUUCAAGUCAGAGGUGAAAGCCCGGGGCUCAACCCCGGAACUGCCUUUGAAACUAGAUGACUAGAAUCUUGGAGAGGUCAGUGGAAUUCCGAGUGUAGAGGUGAAAUUCGUAGAUAUUCGGAAGAACACCAGUGGCGAAGGCGACUGACUGGACAAGUAUUGACGCUGAGGUGCGAAAGCGUGGGGAGCAAAC
This 400-nucleotide ribosomal RNA is filed under the name uncultured bacterium. RNAcentral's name for it is "bacterial SSU rRNA". It matches the Rfam family "Bacterial small subunit ribosomal RNA", at positions 356 to 773 of the family's 1533-position model. The record is from RNAcentral.